GUAAUGGCUCACCAAGGCGUCGACGGGUAGCCGGCCUGAGAGGGUGACCGGCCACACUGGGACUGAGACACGGCCCAGACUCCUACGGGAGGCAGCAGUGGGGAAUAUUGCACAAUGGGCGGAAGCCUGAUGCAGCAACGCCGCGUGAGGGAUGACGGCCUUCGGGUUGUAAACCUCUUUUAGCAGGGAAGAAGCGAAAGUGACGGUACCUGCAGAAAAAGCACCGGCUAACUACGUGCCAGCAGCCGCGGUAAUACGUAGGGUGCAAGCGUUAUCCGGAAUUAUUGGGCGUAAAGAGCUCGUAGGCGGUUUGUCGCGUCUGCUGUGAAAUCCCGAGGCUCAACCUCGGGCCUGCAGUGGGUACGGGCAGACUAGAGUGCGGUAGGGGAGAUUGGAAUUCCUGGUGUAGCGGUGGAAUGCGCAGAUAUCAGGAGGAACACCGAUGGCGAAGGCAGAUCUCUGGGCCGUAACUGACGCUGAGGAGCGAAAGGGUGGGGAGCAAACAGGCUUAGAUACCCUGGUAGUCCACCCCGUAAACGUUGGGAACUAGUUGUGGGGUCCUUUCCACGGAUUCCGUGACGCAGCUAACGCAUUAAGUUCCCCGCCUGGGGAGUACGGCCGCAAGGCUAAAACUCAAAGGAAUUGACGGGGACCCGCACAAGCGGCGGAGCAUGCGGAUUAAUUCGAUGCAACGCGAAGAACCUUACCAAGGCUUGACAUACACGAGAACGGGCCAGAAAUGGUCAACUCUUUGGACACUCGUGAACAGGUGGUGCAUGGUUGUCGUCAGCUCGUGUCGUGAGAUGUUGGGUUAAGUCCCGCAACGAGCGCAACCCUCGUUCUAUGUUGCCAGCACGUAAUGGUGGGAACUCAUGGGAUACUGCCGGGGUCAACUCGGAGGAAGGUGGGGAUGACGUCAAAUCAUCAUGCCCCUUAUGUCUUGGGCUUCACGCAUGCUACAAUGGCCGGUACAAAGGGCUGCAAUACCGUGAGGUGGAGCGAAUCCCAAAAAGCCGGUCCCAGUUCGGAUUGAGGUCUGCAACUCGACCUCAUAGUCGGAGUCGCUAGUAAUCGCAGU
Molecule: ribosomal RNA, 1078 nt
Filed under: Microbacterium sp.
Lineage: Bacteria; Bacillati; Actinomycetota; Actinomycetes; Micrococcales; Microbacteriaceae
Description: bacterial SSU rRNA
Rfam family: Bacterial small subunit ribosomal RNA
Source: RNAcentral